AUGGCGGCCGCGGGAGGUCCUCUUCAAGGUCAAGCACGUCCAGGCCAAGCCUGCUGGCCGCCCUCGCGGGUGACUGCCUCCGCGGUGACAACGGCGACCUCGUCAUCCCUGGAGGCCGCGGCGCCCCUCAAGGCCGACCUCCGCCACGUGAGUGAUCCGUCGAUCUCGUCUCUCCAACAGUGUUCCGGAUGCACGCAUGAGUUCGACCUGGAAAAGCCGCCGGUGCUGCAGGAGGUGGCGGAUUUCUUCAGUGGCCACGGAAUCGAGGACUUCACCUUCAGCAGGGGCAGGCUGUCAGAAUGGCGUUGCCGGGCAAAGCUAGUGGUACGCGGAACACCAGAGAAACCACUGAUUGGCCUGUAUCGGGAAGGGACACAUACUGUUCAAGAUAUUCCCGAUUGCAGAGGUAGGACAGGAGGAACAGCGACAAGCGACGGGAUGAAGCCCGGCCAUGGAAACCCACCGCAGCCUUCAAGACCUCGACGGCGGUCGGUGCUAUGGUAUGAAUCCUUCCUCCACUUCAAGAUCUCUACGUACGGCGGUCGACAGCACGCGCGUGCAUUGCACUCUUCCUCUUGCUCUGUUCUUGGGCUGAUGCUGGCGGCGGUGCAGGGGAUCCUGAUCAACAUGCAGUUCCCGGGGCCGCAGAUCGACGCCGUCACCAACGACAACAUCGUCAUCAACGUCUUCAACAACCUGAUCUGA
This 705-nucleotide ribosomal RNA is filed under the name Triticum aestivum (bread wheat). Its description in RNAcentral is "partial small subunit ribosomal RNA". Lineage: Eukaryota; Viridiplantae; Streptophyta; Magnoliopsida; Poales; Poaceae. The record is from RNAcentral.